RNAcentral lists this ribosomal RNA (2908 nucleotides) under Clostridium sp. MB40-C1. RNAcentral's name for it is "23S ribosomal RNA". It matches the Rfam family "Bacterial large subunit ribosomal RNA". Lineage: Bacteria; Bacillati; Bacillota; Clostridia; Eubacteriales; Clostridiaceae. The record is from RNAcentral.
GAUCAAGCUACAAAGGGCGCACGGUGAAUGCCCUGGCACUAGGAGCCGAUGAAGGACGUGAUAAGCUGCGAUAAGCUUCGAGUAGGUGCAAAUAACCUGUGAUUCGAAGAUGUCCGAAUGGGGAAACCCGGCAGGCUAACGCCUGUCACUAUAUGCUGAAUACAUAGGUAUAUAGAGGUAGACUCGGGGAACUGAAACAUCUAAGUACCCGAAGGAAGAGAAAGAAAAAUCGAUUUCCUGAGUAGCGGCGAGCGAAACGGAAAGAGCCCAAACCAGGAACUUGUUCCUGGGGUUGAGGAUAGAACAUAACGCUUUGAUUUUCUUAGCCAAAUAUAACUGGAAAGUUAAGCCGCAGAAGGUAAUAGCCCUGUAGGCGAAAAGAAAAGAAAAGUAGUUCUACUCCAGAGUACCACGAGACACGAGAAACCUUGUGGGAAGCAGGGAGGACCAUCUCCCAAGGCUAAAUACUACCUAGUGACCGAUAGUGAAGCAGUACCGUGAGGGAAAGGUGAAAAGAACCCCGGAAGGGGAGUGAAAUAGAACCUGAAACCGUGUGCCUACAAACGGUCGGAGCACUUUAUAUGUGUGACGGCGUGCUUUUUGUAGAACGAGCCAGCGAGUUACGAUAUACAGCAAGGUUAAGCACUUAAGGUGUGGAGCCGAAGGGAAACCGAGUCUGAAUAGGGCAACUAGUUGUAUGUCGUAGACCCGAAACCGAGUGACCUAUCCAUGGCCAGGUUGAAGCGAAAGUAAAAUUUCGUGGAGGACCGAACCACGUUGGUGUUGAAAAACCAUGGGAUGAGCUGUGGAUAGCGGAGAAAUUCCAAUCGAACUCGGAGAUAGCUGGUUCUCCUCGAAAUAGCUUUAGGGCUAGCGUCGGGUAAUUAAGUAGUGGAGGUAGAGCACUGAAUGGGCUAGGGGGCAUAGCGCUUACCGAACCCUAUCAAACUCCGAAUGCCAUAUACUUGUAUCCCGGCAGUCAGGCUGCGAGUGAUAAGAUCCGUGGCCAAAAGGGAAACAGCCCAGACCAUCAGCUAAGGUCCCAAAGUGUAAGUUAAGUGGGAAAGGAUGUGGGAUUUCUAAGACAACUAGGAUGUUGGCUUAGAAGCAGCCACUCAUUUAAAGAGUGCGUAAUAGCUCACUAGUCGAGAGAUCCUGCGCCGAAGAUGUACCGGGGCUAAAACUUACCACCGAAGCUAUGGAUGUACACUACGUGUACGUGGUAGAGGAGCUUUCUACACAGGCUGAAGCCAUACCGUAAGGAGUGGUGGACAGUGUAGAAGUGAGAAUGCUGGCAUAAGUAGCGAGAAACAGGUGAGAAUCCUGUUGGCCGAAUAUCUAAGGUUUCCUGGGGAAGGCUCGUCCUCCCAGGGUUAGUCGGGACCUAAGCCGAGGCCGAAAGGCGUAGGUGAUGGACAACUGGUUGAUAUUCCAGUACCACCAAUAUGCGUUUGACAGAUGGGAUGACGCAGGAGGAUAGGAUGUGCACACUAUUGGAUGUGUGUUCAAGCACUUAGGAGGACUAGACAGGAAAAUCCGUUUAGUCAUAACUCUGAGGUGUGAUGAGGAGCCAAUUGAGGCGAAGUAUCUGAUUCCACGCUGCCAAGAAAAGUCUCUAUGGAGUAUGUUGGUGCCCGUACCGCAAACCGACACAGGUAGAUGAGGAGAGAAUCCUAAGGCCGGCGGAAGAAUUACUGCUAAGGAACUCGGCAAAUUGACCCCGUAACUUAGGGAGAAGGGGUGCCUACGAGAGUAGGCCGCAGUGAACAGGCCCAAGCAACUGUUUAUCAAAAACACAGGUCUCUGCUAAAGCGUAAGCUGAUGUAUAGGGGCUGACGCCUGCCCGGUGCUGGAAGGUUAAGGGGAAUGGUUAGUCUUCGGGCGAAGCCAAGAACUUAAGCCCCAGUAAACGGCGGCCGUAACUAUAACGGUCCUAAGGUAGCGAAAUUCCUUGUCGGGUAAGUUCCGACCCGCACGAAUGGCGUAAUGAUUUGGGCACUGUCUCGGCAGUAAAUCCGGUGAAAUUGAAGUGUGAGUGAAGAUGCUCACUACCCGCGGUUGGACGGAAAGACCCCGUAGAGCUUUACUGUAGCUUAGCAUUGAAUUUCGGUAUUGUCUGUACAGGAUAGGUGGGAGACUGAGAAUCAGGGGCGUCAGCUUCUGAGGAGUCGACCUUGGGAUACCACCCUGACAGUAUUGGAAUUCUAACUGGCGGCCAUGAAUCUGGUCACAGGACAUUGCUAGGUGGGCAGUUUGACUGGGGCGGUCGCCUCCUAAAAGGUAACGGAGGCGCCCAAAGGUUCCCUCAGCGCGGUCGGAAAUCGCGCGAAGAGUGUAAAGGCAGAAGGGAGCCUGACUGCGAGACAUACAGGUCGAGCAGGGACGAAAGUCGGGCUUAGUGAUCCGGUGGUUCUGAAUGGAAGGGCCAUCGCUCAACGGAUAAAAGCUACCUCGGGGAUAACAGGCUGAUCUCCCCAAGAGUCCACAUCGACGGGGAGGUUUGGCACCUCGAUGUCGGCUCGUCGCAUCCUGGGGCUGUAGUCGGUCCCAAGGGUUGGGCUGUUCGCCCAUUAAAGCGGCACGCGAGCUGGGUUCAGAACGUCGUGAGACAGUUCGGUCCCUAUCCGCCGUGGGCGCAGGAAAUUUGAGAGGAGCUGUCCUUAGUACGAGAGGACCGGGAUGGACCAACCUCUGGUGCACCAGUUGUCACGCCAGUGGCACAGCUGGGUAGCUAUGUUGGGAAGGGAUAAACGCUGAAAGCAUCUAAGCGUGAAGCCCACCUCAAGAUUAGAUUUCCCAUAGCGUAAGCUAGUAAGACCCCUGGAAGACUACCAGGUUGAUAGGUCAGAGGUGUAAGCGUGGUAACAUGUUAAGCUGACUGAUACUAAUAGGUCGAGGGCUUGAUCAA